This 388-nucleotide ribosomal RNA is filed under the name uncultured bacterium. RNAcentral describes it as "bacterial SSU rRNA". It matches the Rfam family "Bacterial small subunit ribosomal RNA", at positions 28 to 419 of the family's 1533-position model. The record is from RNAcentral.
GAUGAACGCUAGCGGCAGGCUUAACACAUGCAAGUCGAGGGGGUAUUGGUUUUCGGACCAAGAGACCGGCGCACGGGUGCGUAACGCGUAUGCAAUCUACCUUUUGCAGAGGGAUAGCCCAGAGAAAUUUGGAUUAAUACCUCAUAGUAUAGUACUUUGGCAUCAAGGAACUAUUAAAGUCACAACGGCAAAAGAUGAGCAUGCGUCCCAUUAGCUAGUUGGUAAGGUAACGGCUUACCAAGGCUACGAUGGGUAGGGGUUCUGAGAGGGAGAUCCCCCACACUGGUACUGAGACACGGACCAGACUCCUACGGGAGGCAGCAGUGAGGAAUAUUGGUCAAUGACGCAAGUCUGAACCAGCCAUGCCGCGUGCAGGAUGACGGUCCUA